Long non-coding RNA from Triticum aestivum (bread wheat), 1812 nucleotides. RefSeq lists it as uncharacterized. The record is from RefSeq and is a predicted model, not a curated record. The transcript is spliced from 4 exons. NCBI's taxonomy places the organism in Eukaryota, Viridiplantae, Streptophyta, Magnoliopsida, Poales, Poaceae.
UAAACAUGGAGAUUUCUUAAAGAAGUGUGUGCCCGUCGAUCCAUAGCUGCUACGCAAAGAACGCGCUGCUCGAUCAAAUCAACCGAGGGAUGAGAGGAGAAAGGUCUCCGCCGAACUCCGCUUCCCCACCGCCGCCGAGCUGCCCGCUCCCCUCGCUCCAGAUCGAACUCCAUCCGGACCAGCCCAUCACGUCGAUCCCUUCGCCGGCCGUCUACUCCGCUCAACGCCGUCUCGCUGGACGCUCCUUCUCUCUUCUGCGCCUGGCCUUCCACCACAACCCGGCGUCUCACUGUCGCCGGCGGCCAUCACCAGGUCGCCGCCUCCCAAACUCACCUACAGAUCGACUGGUACUCAGGAGAAUAGCAGAUCAGUACCUCUGGCCCUAAAAUCCCAUGUUCUUUUCUCUGGUCCGUUGAAUAUUUUUGGAAUCACAUAUGUUUUAUUUAUAUGAUGCAAUUUCUGCCAAAUUCGCAGAUAAUUUAGAAAGUGUGUUGCAUGAGUAAUCUUGAAUUCUUCUGUCAAUUUUGCUGUUGUCAUUUUUUGUUAGUUCAACAGGAAAACGAAUGUGAUGCACAUUGUAAGCUGCCAUGGACUGCUGAUACGACUCAUGCAUUACUUCAUGGUUCAUUAUGAGAGACGUGCAUUAACUUGGCAAUAUCAAAACUGGUGUUCCAUGAAACAACAUUCAUGCAGUCACACGCCGAUGUGCAUCACGAACGUUGACAUGACUGGAUCAUUUAGUGUCAGAAAUAAUCUUAUAUUCUAGGAUGGAGGGAGUACCAUACCACUGUUUGUGCCUGAUUCGACAUCUAGGCUCUUUGAAGUCAUAAUAUCCAGCUUCACCUUCACACGUCGACGUUCUACCAUGACUGUGCAAUAUAUUUCAAGGCCCAUGAUAAAACUGAAAGAGGAUCAUGGGUUUUAUAGCUCAUGGUGGCCGGGUUUUGCUAGCGUUGUGGUCCAUGCAUACCAAUUCUUUGAAUCAGUUCCACCGUGCAGUGAUGUAAGAAAAAGGUGUGUCGUUUGUCGACUGUGGGCAAUGGAGUAAUGUAGAUGUACUAUAGAGUACAUAUCCAAGAGAACAGUGAGGUGACUUUAGAUAGCUGUAAUGAGCUGAUGGAGCCUUUGACCUGAAGUUAUAUUUGUAUAGAUUACAUGAUUUGUUGAUGAGGAUAAUAAGGAGGAGCUGAUGGCAAACCAACCAAGGAAGGUCACGGAAGAUUGAGGUUGGGCACGAUGCCACAUCAGAAGUUAUUAGGCUAUGGGUGAGUUAGGGGCCAUGGAGGAGUGAGCCGAUAGGAGGGUCAAGUAUGGUGCAUACAUGUCAACAUUGGUAGUCAGAACUUGAUGAUGAGUGCAGAUGGGAAUGAUGGAAUGAGGACGGGCGUGCUGCAGUCCAGCAAUUUGUCAUUGCCAAAUGAUUCAAUCCCGGUGAGGUCAUUGCUGGAUAUGCAAGGUCUCACUGGGCAAGGUAUUCGAAGUUCUUAAGUGCUUAGGAACCUCGCUGUGUUUUCGUAUUGACGUGAUUAGCAAGUGUAUUUACCGAAGCAUAGAUGUAAUGUGGGUUAUGUGCAGCACCGAAUCUGAGGUGGCUGCAAUCCAGUCGGUUCUGGCAUCGGAGAGUUAAGAGUGAAUCAGACUUAAUCAGAUGGCAUCGACACUGUGCCAAUACGUACUUUUGAUUCUUAUCCUAGAUGAUCUCAUUUAAAGUUGUUGCGGUUUGUUAAAAUCAUUCUUGAUAAGCUACACAACGCUUCAUGUAUUGCACUACUAAUGUCGUUUAUUGCACUAAUAUCCUGUUCCACUCGUAUA